GCUGAGGAUCGAACCCGGGCCGCACGCAUGCCAGGCGAGCGCGCUACUGCUUGAGCCACAUCACCAGCCCAGGGAAAUCAUGGUUUUUAAGAAAGUUUUUUCUGAUCCUCCAAAGAUGGGACAUCAUAGUCUAAGAAAAGAGUACUUCCUAACUCACUUCCUAGUGAUGCUCAUGAAUGAUCAUCUUUUCUUAUAAUCAUAUCAAAGUACUUAUGAUUAUGACACAAUUUCAUUUGAUUUGUUUUUACUUUUUUUGGUGGGGGAGGUGUACUGGGGAUUGAACUCAAGGACACUCAACCACUAAGCCACAUCCCCAGCCCUAUUUUGUAUUUUAUUUAGAGACAGGGUCUCACUGAGUUGCUCAGAGCCUCACCGUUGCUGAGGCUGGCUUUGACUCACUGUCCUCCUGCUGCAGCCUCUGAGCUGCUGGUAUUACAGGUGAGUGUCACUGCACCCAGAUAGCAUAGGGGUUUUUGCCUUUGAGAGGGACACAUCAGAAGGCAAAAGUAUGUGUGACAUCAUGAAGGGUAAGGUCCUGAAAAUAGCCUGUGUUCUCAAAGAUGAGCAACUUGCAAAGUUGACUCUGCAGCCAGAGGGAAAUGUCCAGAGGGAACAGGCAAAAUGAUGGCAGAUGACUGCAUACAACCAGGUUUAUAAACCCUUCCAAGGGGCUCAGAGAAAAGGUUGAUGGCCAGCCACUGCUAGAAGUUAGAUGGUGUCUGGGAGAAGGCACAAGACAGAGCGGGAGGUCCUGAGAGCUAGAAACCAGUGAAACUGGAGUUGUUUUUGAGACAACCGCUUCAAAGGUUGUGCUCAUUGUACGCUAGGCUCUUACACUCCAGAGUAAAAAAUCAGGUCAAGGAAGUGUCCUUUUCCUUUUCUCUUUCCCUCCCCUACCUCUUUCAUGAUUUGGUCAUGAGUCAGGGUUCAGGACUUUUGAAGAGGAUCCAUGUAAUCAGGUAACCAAUCAAGGAUGUGUCAGAUGACAUCAACCAAUGUUCUUACUGAUCUUUUAUUUUUCACUGCCACACAGAAGGAACAAAUGUCAACUAAAUGGUCUCCUUUUGACUUCAUCUCAAUCUCUUUGAUUUCAUUUCAACUCUCCGAAAAUCAGUGAUUUUAUAAUCAGUGUUUUUUUCUAUUGUUUAAGGGUACUUUAUUUCUUGCUUAGCAAACGGUGUCCACAAAAUUGACGGGUUACUUGAAUUCUGGAAGUGGAAUUUCAACAGUGCAAACUCAAAUAAUACUAAAACAUCCUAAUUCUAAAUAAAUGGUUAAAUUGUUGUGAGUUCCUCAAAUAAGAUAGUAAUAUUUUUUUCAGGAUUUUGGUUUUUGGCCCUGAUCAACUAAAAGUGACUUAAUUUGACUGUGAGUAAAAAUAAUACCAAGAUUGGGGCUGUGGCUCAGCAGUAGAGCACUCACCUAGCAUGUGUGAGGCCCUGGGUUCAAUCUUCAGCACCAUGUAAAAAUAAAUAAAUAAAAUAAAGAUAUUGUGUCCAACAGAACUAAAAAAUAAAUAUAGAAAAAUACAAUGCAGG
RNAcentral lists this long non-coding RNA (1538 nucleotides) under Marmota monax (woodchuck). The stretch from base 1393 to 1461 matches the Rfam family "tRNA". The record is from RNAcentral. Lineage: Eukaryota; Metazoa; Chordata; Mammalia; Rodentia; Sciuridae.